This is an RNA transcript of Rhinolophus ferrumequinum (greater horseshoe bat), 5522 nucleotides long. It is a transcript of the gene named ribosomal protein S6 kinase B1, with no coding region annotated. The record is from RefSeq and is a predicted model, not a curated record. The transcript has 16 exons. NCBI's taxonomy places the organism in Eukaryota, Metazoa, Chordata, Mammalia, Chiroptera, Rhinolophidae.
AGGAGCAAGUCUAAGGCCUAGGCGCAGACGCACUGAGCCUAAGCAGCCGGUGAUGGCGGCAGCGGCGGCAGUGGCUGCGGCGGGUCCGGGCCCAUGAGGCGACGACGGAGGCGGGACGGCUUUUACCCAGCGCCGGACUUCCGAGACAGGGAAGCUGAGGACAUGGCAGGAGUGUUUGACAUAGACCUGGACCAGCCAGAGGACGCGGGCUCUGAGGAUGAGCUGGAGGAGGGGGGUCAGUUAAAUGAAAGCAUGGACCAUGGGGGAGUUGGACCAUAUGAACUUGGCAUGGAACAUUGUGAGAAAUUUGAAAUCUCAGAAACUAGUGUGAACAGAGGGCCAGAAAAAAUCAGACCAGAAUGUUUUGAGCUACUUCGGGUACUUGGUAAAGGGGGCUAUGGAAAGGUUUUUCAAGUACGAAAAGUAACAGGAGCAAAUACUGGGAAAAUAUUUGCCAUGAAGGUGCUUAAAAAGGCAAUGAUAGUAAGAAAUGCUAAAGAUACAGCUCAUACAAAAGCAGAACGGAAUAUUCUGGAGGAAGUAAAGCAUCCCUUCAUUGUGGAUUUAAUUUAUGCCUUUCAGACCGGUGGAAAACUCUACCUCAUCCUUGAGUAUCUCAGCGGAGGAGAAUUAUUUAUGCAGUUAGAAAGAGAGGGAAUAUUUAUGGAAGAUACAGCCUGGCCUUUUCUAACACAGAAGCUGCAUUUAAGAGCCUUAGGGAUGAAGUGCCCUUUUUUGGAGGAGGCUCUCUGAGCCCUGUUGGAGGCUGUGUUUGUGGUCGUGCUGGCUGUGAAACUGCCUCAGCCCUGUAGGACACACCCUCUCCAUUCUGGAGUAAUCUGCAGGAUUGCAACCUUGUUAUGCAGCCAGUAUUGCAGUGCCUUGUGCUUUUCGAAUCCAGACAGGGUUGACUCAGCCCUUUAUUCUUUUGAGCUUUUACUUGGCAGAAAUCUCCAUGGCUUUGGGGCAUUUACAUCAAAAGGGGAUCAUCUACAGAGACCUGAAGCCGGAGAAUAUCAUGCUUAAUCACCAAGGUCAUGUGAAACUAACAGACUUUGGACUCUGCAAAGAAUCUAUUCAUGACGGAACAGUCACACACACAUUUUGUGGAACAAUAGAAUACAUGGCCCCUGAAAUCUUGAUGAGAAGCGGCCACAAUCGUGCUGUGGAUUGGUGGAGUUUGGGAGCAUUAAUGUAUGACAUGCUGACUGGAGCACCCCCGUUCACUGGGGAGAAUAGAAAGAAAACAAUUGACAAAAUCCUCAAAUGUAAACUCAAUUUGCCUCCCUACCUCACACAAGAAGCCAGAGAUCUGCUUAAAAAGCUGCUGAAAAGAAAUGCUGCUUCUCGUCUUGGAGCUGGUCCUGGGGAUGCUGGAGAAGUUCAAGCUCAUCCAUUCUUUAGACAUAUUAACUGGGAAGAACUGCUGGCUCGGAAGGUGGAGCCCCCUUUUAAACCUCUAUUGCAAUCUGAAGAGGAUGUGAGUCAGUUUGAUUCAAAGUUUACACGUCAGACACCUGUUGACAGCCCAGAUGACUCAACUCUCAGUGAAAGUGCCAACCAGGUCUUUCUGGGUUUUACAUAUGUGGCUCCAUCUGUACUUGAAAGUGUGAAAGAAAAGUUUUCCUUUGAACCAAAAAUCCGAUCACCUCGAAGAUUUAUUGGCAGCCCACGAACACCUGUCAGCCCAGUCAAAUUUUCUCCUGGGGAUUUCUGGGGAAGAGGUGCUUCAGCCAGCACAGCAAAUCCUCAGACGCCUGUGGAAUACCCAAUGGAAACAAGUGGAAUAGAGCAGAUGGAUGUGACAAUGAGUGGGGAAGCUUCAGCCCCACUUCCAAUACGACAGCCGAACUCCGGGCCAUACAAAAAACAAGCUUUUCCCAUGAUAUCCAAACGACCAGAGCACCUGCGUAUGAAUCUAUGACGGAGCAAUGCUUUUAAUUAAUUUAAGGCAAAAAAAAGGUGGGGAGAGGAUUUGUGAGCAUCCUGCAGUGUGAAACAAGAGGACUCAAAAUGACAGUCUCGAAGAGUCAGUGUCAUUACACAGAACACUUUGGACGGAGGAAAAAUAAAGACGGAUUUUUAAAAAUCAAUCAAUGGUGCAAAAAAAAAAAAAAGGAAAAACAAGCAAAAUAGUAUUGCAGAACUCUUAGGCACAUCAAUUAAUUGAUUCUUAGCGACAUCUUCUCAACCUUAUCAAGGAUUUUCAUGUCGAUGGCUCAAAACUGACAGUAUUAGGGUAGGAUGUUGCUUCUGAAUCACUGUUGAGCUCUGAUUGUGUCGAAGAAGGUUAUCCUUUCAUUAGGCAAAAUAUGAAAUUGCCUGUAAAACUUGCAACUAAGGACAAAUUAGCAUGCAAGCUUGGUCAAACUUUUUCCAGCAACAUGGAAUCAAAGACAAAAGAAACUUACCAAUUGAUGUUUUACUUGCAAACAACCUGAAUCUUUUUUUUAUAUAAAUAUAUAUUUUUCAAAUAGAUUUUUGAUUCAGCUCAUUAUGGAAAACAUCCCAAACUUUAAAAUGCGAAAUUAUUGGUUGGUGUGAAGAAAGUCAGACAACUUCUGUUUCUUCUCUUGGUGAAAUAAUAAAAAUGCAAAUGAAUCAUUGUUAACCACAGCUGUGGCUCGUUUGAGGGAUUGGGGUGGACCUGGGGUUUAUUUUCAGUAACCCAGUUGCAAUACCUGUCUGUAAUACCUGUCUGGGAAAAAAAUCUAUUUAAUCAUUUCUAUUUGCAGUACUGCUAUGUGCUAAGCUUAACUGGAAGCCUUGGAAUGGGCAUAAGUUGUAUGUCCUACAUUUCAUCCUUGUACUGGGCCUGCAUUGCACUGGAAAAAUAUCACCACCUGUUCUUAUACCAGUAUUUGGUUCAAGACGCCAAAUGUGUUCAGCCUGUGGCUGAAGAAGGACGGAAGAGAGUCAGGAUAAAAUGCAUACUGAAGGCGGCAAAUUGAGGGAGUUAGGGCGAUCCAGGGGAGGAGGGUGUUGCCAUGGUCCACUCUCUAUCUAAUCUCUUUACAGCAAAUUGCUAAGGUUUUAGGUUUUACUUCUUUUUACUGUUUUUGCUACCUACCUUCCUUACAUUUUCUUCAAGUUUUAAAAGGAAAAAGGUUUUUUCUCCUAUACUGGGGCUACAUUUUUUGAUUGUAACAAUAUUUGAUGGCCUUUUGAUGAAUGUCUUCCACAGUGAAUAAGAAAACUUAGUGGCUUAAUUUAGGAAAUAUGUUAACAAGACACUAUGUUUUUGAAAUUGUAACAAAAAUCUACAUAAGUGAUUUACAGGUACAAAGAAUAAAAAUAAAGGUAACUUUACCUUUCGUAAAUACUUCCUGCCUUAAAGAGAGCAUUUCCAUGACUUUAGCUGGUGAAAAGGUUUAAUAUCUGCAGAGCUUUAUACAAAUGUAUUUCAGUGCAUACUGGUAUAAUAGAUGAUCAUGCAGCUGCAGUUGAGUCUUAUCAGCUCUUUGUCUUUUCUAAUGUCUUCAGUCUGAGUGUGCAGUCAGUUUGUAGUAUUUGGCAACCCUAUGAUUUUUUUAAAUAGAUGCUGCUUGCUGUGUUCUCCAAACCUUUCUGAGCCAUAGGAUCCAAGCCAUAAAAUUCUUCAUGCAUGUUGAAGUCAGUCAGAAAAGAGCAAAGCUUUGCUUAUUUAAAUGGCAAUUCAAGUAAGAUGAGAUGAAAUCCUAUGACACUAAGCAAAAACAGAAUCCUGAAAAAUGAUUGGAAAUAUACCAUUUCAAUUGUGGCAAUAAUGAAAGAAUUGAUAACAGUUCAUUUUUCGACAGAAAACUUUUUUUUUGAUCAUUCCCUCUCACCCCCUAUCCCAUUAUUGCAGCAGCCUACUGAGAACUUUGUAAAUGAGAAGCUAAAAUAACUGCAAAAAUUGUAUUUAAAGUACAGAUCUUUGUUCUCUGACAGUUUAUGGUGUCUGAAAAAAACGGACCCCAAAAAGCUAUGGUGAUAUAUAUAGGCUUUAUUUCAGACUGUAAAUGGCUUGUGCUAUUCUAAUACUUGUUUUGAAAUGUGUUUACUAACUGUAGUGUUGACUGCCUGACCAAAUUCCAGCAAAAUUUUUACACCAAAAUAUUCCUCCUCAGUCCUAUUUGCUAACAUUUGCACUGUAAUUGGCUGGCUAUAACCACCCCAGUUAAACCAUUUUCAUAAUUAGCACUGCCAGCAAUAGUGGCAAACACUGCAACUUUUCUGCAUAAAAAGCAUUAAUUGCACAUCUACCAUCCAGGCAAAUACAGGUUUUCAAACUUUAAGUGAAAUUAAUUCCUAUGCUGUGGCAAGUUUAUUUAGAAAUUGUGUUUCAUAAAUGGAUAUUCCUACUAUGACUGUGAAAACAUGUCAGGUGCCACUGUAGUGUCACAGACAGAAAGCACACACCUAUGCAAUAUGGCUUACCCUAUAUUUAUUUGUAAAAAUCCAAGCAUAGUUUAAAAUAUAUGAUGUCAAUAUUACUAGUCUUGAGUUCCUAAGAGGGUUCUUUAUGCUUCUUCCAGGUAAGUGUAUAAAAGAGAUUAAGUGCUUUUCUUUCAUCACUUGAUUAUUUUCUUUAAAAUCAGCUAUUACAGGAUAUUUUUUUAUUUUAUAUACAUGCUGUUUUUUUAAUUAAAAUAUAAUCACUGAGAACUGAAGUUUUACUAAUUUUGAUUUUAUAAGGUUUGUAGCAUUACAGAAUAAACUGGGAUUUAUAAACCAGCUGUGAUUAACAAUGUAAAGUAUUAAUUAUUGAACUUGAACCAGAUUUUUAGGAAAAUUGUUAUUUCUUUUUCCCCUUUAUGGUGUUAACUAGUUUGAAUCCUUCAAGGAAUUUUCCGUACUAUUUUUUGAGAUAGAAGAUAAUGGGGGUGGGGGGAAGAAUGCAUGUAUUAUGCUCUAUAAAUUCAACAUUCAUUAAGUAAUAAAUGAUUAUAAACAAGAUGUAUCUUCAAUAGUAUUGAUGUACUGAGCCUUGGAUUUUAUAUUUAAUAUAGAACUUAACUAUUUUGGUUACUAGUCAUAUGGUUCCUAGCUUACAAGGGCUAGAUCUAAGAUUAUUCCCAUGAGAAAUGUUGAAUUUAUCAAGAAUGGAUUUUGAGGCUUUGAAAAUGGUUAACUUCUUAAAUAAAAACAUCAGUGUCCAAACAUUUACCUUCUUUCAUAGGAGUAGACACUAGUAAGCCAGACAAAGCAAUCAUAAAAGAAUUUGUCGCACCAUGACCUAUGAUCUAUUGCUGAUUGAUAUAAAACUUUUCUUGCGUGAUUCUUAAUUUACCAAUGCAACACAAGUAUUAUCUCAGUGGAUUAUCUGAAGUACACCUGAAAGAUGGGUUCAUUAUGUUUGUUUGCUUUUUAUUAUUUUUUUCCUAUCCCAAGUUGGCUUUGCGUCUAUCAGAGUAAAGAAAUUCUUCAGCUGCCUUAUUAGGAGUGCUAUGAGGGUAAACACCUUUUCUGCUUUUCAUCUUGUAUUUAGUUUACUGUAUUAAGUAUUUGAUUUCGGAUUGAAUGACUGUAAAUAGAAAUUAAAUGCAAAUUUGAAUGAA